CAGAGGUCCCAAGCGUUGUUCGGAUUCACUGGGCGUAAAGGGUGCGUAGGCGGUCGGAUAAGUCUGAUGUGAAAUCUCCAAGCUUAACUUGGAAAUGGCAUUGGAAACUACCUGGCUUGAGGUUUGGAGGGGGGACUGGAAUACUUGGUGUAGCAGUGAAAUGCGUAGAUAUCAAGUGGAACACCAGUGGCGAAGGCGAGUCCCUGGACAACACCUGACACUGAGGCACGAAAGCUAGGGGAGCAAACAGGAUUAGAUACCCUGGUAGUCCUAGCUGUAAACGGUGCUUGCUUGCUGUAAAAGGAAUCGACCCCUUUUGUGGCGAAGCCAACGCGAUAAGCGAGCCGCCUGGGAAGUACGGUCGCAAGAUUA
RNAcentral lists this ribosomal RNA (372 nucleotides) under uncultured organism. RNAcentral's name for it is "bacterial SSU rRNA". It matches the Rfam family "Bacterial small subunit ribosomal RNA", at positions 526 to 896 of the family's 1533-position model. The record is from RNAcentral.